CGGCCGUGUAGCUCGCGCUGGACUUCCGCCACUCGCCGUGCCCGAGCCCAGAGCGCGUGAAGACACAGUCCAGGAUGAAGCUGGCUGCCCUAUUAUCUGUGUUUUGGGUUUCCUGUCUGUUGGGAGGAGUUCAGAGCCGACCAAUAUGGGACAACAAGCUGGACUUUCUUGAAAACCGGCUGAGAACACUGGACCUGGCCAGGAACAGAGAGCUGUUUCUGAGUGCUCUGCAGUCCUACUUCAGUAACAGAGGGGUCAGUGUUGACCGGACAGCUCCCGCCUUCCUGUUGUUCCCACCAAAGAGCUGGCAAACUCGGACAGAUGCCCUGCUGGAGUCCGAGAUGCCAGGGGAGGGCACGAAUCUGUCAGAAUGACAGCCUUACCCAUCUGGAGGCAUCGGGUGAAUUAGAACGACGGACACCAUUGUUCUUAUAGGAUUUUUAAAUACUGAAGGAACACGAUCUGUACGGACAGGCUUGCCAGGGUGAUAAUGCAAAUAAAAUGGAAGACAUCUUACAUUGUUUUAUAAUGGUGGUAACUGUAAAACCUGGAACAUACUAUUCUUUCUAUUUUCACAAAUAAAGAACCGUCUUUAG
This 596-nucleotide long non-coding RNA is filed under the name Lepisosteus oculatus (spotted gar). RNAcentral's name for it is "lncRNA (ENSLOCG00000023053.1)". Lineage: Eukaryota; Metazoa; Chordata; Actinopteri; Semionotiformes; Lepisosteidae. The record is from RNAcentral.